This 303-nucleotide ribosomal RNA is filed under the name uncultured bacterium. RNAcentral describes it as "partial 16S ribosomal RNA". It matches the Rfam family "Bacterial small subunit ribosomal RNA", at positions 507 to 807 of the family's 1533-position model. The record is from RNAcentral.
AGCAGUAGCCGCGGUAAUACGAAGGGUGCAAGCGUUAAUCGGAAUUACUGGGCGUAAAGCGUGCGUAGGCGGUUUGUUAAGUCUGUUGUGAAAUCCCCGGGCUCAACCUGGGAAUGGCAAUGGAUACUGGCAAGCUAGAGUGUGUCAGAGGAUGGUGGAAUUCCCGGUGUAGCGGUGAAAUGCGUAGAGAUCGGGAGGAACAUCAGUGGCGAAGGCGGCCAUCUGGGACAACACUGACGCUGAGGCACGAAAGCGUGGGGAGCAAACAGGAUUAGAUACCCGCGUAGUCCCUGUCUCUUAUAC